This 253-nucleotide ribosomal RNA is filed under the name uncultured bacterium. RNAcentral's name for it is "partial 16S ribosomal RNA". It matches the Rfam family "Bacterial small subunit ribosomal RNA", at positions 524 to 776 of the family's 1533-position model. The record is from RNAcentral.
UACGGAGGGUGCAGGCGUUAUCCGGAUUCACUGGGUUUAAAGGGUGCGUAGGCGGAUAUGUAAGUCCGUGGUGAAAUCUCUGGGCUUAACCCGGAAACUGCCAUGGAUACUAUGUGUCUUGAAUGUUGUUGAGGUGAGCGGAAUAUGUCAUGUAGCGGUGAAAUGCUUAGAUAUGACAUAGAACACCAAUUGCGAAGGCAGCUCACUAAGCAAAUAUUGACGCUGAGGCACGAAAGCGUGGGGAUCAAACAGG